RNAcentral lists this ribosomal RNA (306 nucleotides) under Amoebophrya sp. RNAcentral describes it as "SSU rRNA". It matches the Rfam family "Eukaryotic small subunit ribosomal RNA", at positions 595 to 906 of the family's 1831-position model. The record is from RNAcentral. Lineage: Eukaryota; Dinophyceae; Syndiniales; Amoebophryaceae.
UAGCGUAUAUUAAAGUUGUUGCGGUUAAAAAGCUCGUAGUUGGAUUUCUGCCGAGAAGGUUCGGUCUGUACCUUGUGCAUGUAUCGAGUCCGUCUUGGCAUCCUCGUGGAAAACGUGUCUGCGCUUGAUUGCGUGGUGCGGGGUUCACGACUUUUACUUUGAGGAAAUUAGAGUGUUCACGGCAGGCUUCCGCCUUGAAUAUAUUAGCAUGGAAUAAUAAUAUAGGAUCUUGGUUCUAUUUUGUUGGUUUCUAGAGCUAAGUUAAUGAUUAAUAGGGACAAUUGGGGGCAUUCGUAUUAACGCGUC